GCGCUCGCUUCGGCAGCACCUAUACUAAAAUUGGAACCAUACAGAGAAGAUUAGCAUGGCCCCUGCGCAAGGAUGACACGUAAAUUCAUGAAGCGUUAAAAAAAAAG
Small nuclear RNA from Tachyglossus aculeatus (Australian echidna), 107 nucleotides. The record is from RefSeq and is a predicted model, not a curated record. NCBI's taxonomy places the organism in Eukaryota, Metazoa, Chordata, Mammalia, Monotremata, Tachyglossidae.